UGCAAGUCGAGCGGUAGAGAGAAGCUUGCUUCUCUUGAGAGCGGCGGACGGGUGAGUAAUGCCUAGGAAUCUGCCUGGUAGUGGGGGAUAACGUUCGGAAACGGACGCUAAUACCGCAUACGUCCUACGGGAGAAAGCAGGGGACCUUCGGGCCUUGCGCUAUCAGAUGAGCCUAGGUCGGAUUAGCUAGUUGGUGGGGUAAUGGCUCACCAAGGCGACGAUCCGUAACUGGUCUGAGAGGAUGAUCAGUCACACUGGGACUGAGACACGGUCCAGACUCCUACGGGAGGCAGCAGUGGGGAAUUUUGGACAAUGGGCGCAAGCCUGAUCCAGCCAUUCCGCGUGAGUGAAGAAGGCCUUCGGGUUGUAAAGCUCUUUCGCAAGGGAAGAAAACUUACCAUCGAAUAAAUGGUGAGGCUGACGGUACCUUGAUAAGAAGCACCGGCUAACUACGUGCCAGCAGCCGCGGUAAUACGUAGGGUGCGAGCGUUAAUCGGAAUUACUGGGCGUAAAGCGUGCGCAGGCGGUUUGGCAAGUCAGAUGUGAAAUCCCCGAGCUCAACUUGGGAACUGCGUUUGAAACUGCCAGACUAGAAUAUGUCAGAGGGGGGUAGAAUUCCACGUGUAGCAGUGAAAUGCGUAGAGAUGUGGAGGAAUACCAAUGGCGAA
This 668-nucleotide ribosomal RNA is filed under the name uncultured bacterium. Its description in RNAcentral is "bacterial SSU rRNA". It matches the Rfam family "Bacterial small subunit ribosomal RNA", at positions 56 to 719 of the family's 1533-position model. The record is from RNAcentral.